GGCGCGAGGCAAGGGCGUAGCGCCAUAGAUAGCGCCCUACCCCAGAGACCAGAGGUAGCAGUACCCAGAGGUGGUCUAGCCUAGAGGUUUAAAGAACAGAAAACAAACUUGUAAUAUUUGUGAUAAUCAGAUUGUAUUUUGGAAGUUCAAUGUAAACAAAAUGUAUUAUGUGGAACUUGAGAAUGAAUGUUUGUAAUAACAUAGGAUGUGUUAUAUUUUUUAUACUUCGUUAUGCAAUC
RNAcentral lists this long non-coding RNA (239 nucleotides) under Ananas comosus (pineapple). RNAcentral's name for it is "long non-coding RNA (ACOM_LNC042148)". The record is from RNAcentral. Lineage: Eukaryota; Viridiplantae; Streptophyta; Magnoliopsida; Poales; Bromeliaceae.